AUUGAACGCUGGCGGCAUGCUUUACACAUGCAAGUCGAACGGUAACAGGCCUUCGGGUGCUGACGAGUGGCGGACGGGUGGGUAAUGCAUCGGAACGUACCCAGAGGUGGGGGAUAACGCAGCGAAAGCUGUGCUAAUACCGCAUGUGAUCUGAGGAUGAAAGCGGGGGACCGAGCAGCAAUGUUUGGCCUCGCGCCUUUGGAGCGGCCGAUGUCGGAUUAGCUAGUUGGGGGGGUAAAGGCCUACCAAGGCGACGAUCCGUAGCUGGUCUGAGAGGACGGCAGGCCACCUUGGGACUGAGACACGGCCCAGACUACUACGGGAGGCAGCAGUGGGGAAUGUUGGACAGUGGGCGGAAGCCUGAUCCAGCAAUGCCGCGUGCGGGAAGAAGGCCUUCGGGUCGUAAACUGCUUUUGGCAGGAACGAAACGGUGUCCGCUAAUACCGGGCGCUAAUGACGGUACCUGCAGAAUAAGCACCGGCUAACUACGUG
This 492-nucleotide ribosomal RNA is filed under the name uncultured bacterium. RNAcentral describes it as "partial 16S ribosomal RNA". It matches the Rfam family "Bacterial small subunit ribosomal RNA", at positions 29 to 507 of the family's 1533-position model. The record is from RNAcentral.